GACGAACGCUGGCGGCGUGCUUAACACAUGCAAGUCGAACGGGCCCGCCCCUUUGGGGGUGGGUUGAGUGGCGAACGGGUGAGUAUCACGUGAGUAACCUGCCCCCUGCUCCUGGAUAACUGCUUGAAAGGGCGGCUAAUACGGGGUGUGCCGGCUGGUCCGCAUGGGCCUGGUCGGGAUAGUUUCAUCUUCGGGUGUUUCGGUGGGGGAUGGGCUCGCGGCCUAUCAGCUUGUUGGUGGGGGGAUGGCCCACCAAGGCGGUGACGGGUAGCCGGCCUGAGAGGGUGGGCGGCCACACUGGGACUGAGACACGGCCCAGACUCCUGCGGGAGGCAGCAGUGGGGGGUAUUGCACAAUGGGCGGAAGCCUGAUGCAGCGACGUCGCGUGAGGGAUGGAGGCCUUCGGGUUGUGAACCUCUUUCUCCGGUGGUGAAGGCCCUGUCCGUUGCGGCGGGGUUGACGGUAGCCGGGUAUGAAGCGCCGGCUAACUACGUGCCAGCAGCCGCAGUAACAC
This 514-nucleotide ribosomal RNA is filed under the name uncultured bacterium. Its description in RNAcentral is "bacterial SSU rRNA". It matches the Rfam family "Bacterial small subunit ribosomal RNA", at positions 28 to 526 of the family's 1533-position model. The record is from RNAcentral.